CAGCUAACACGUGGAUAACCUACCCUUAGGUACCGGUUAUAACCCUGGGAAACUGGGGAUAAUACCGGAUAUAUGGAGAUGCCUGGAAUGGUCCUCCACUUAAAGCUCCGGCGCCUANGGAUGGAUCUGCGGCCGAUUAGGUCGUUGGUGGGGUAAUGGCCCACCAAGCCUGUAAUCGGUACGGGUUGUGAGAGCAAGAG
RNAcentral lists this ribosomal RNA (200 nucleotides) under uncultured euryarchaeote. RNAcentral's name for it is "partial 16S ribosomal RNA". It matches the Rfam family "Archaeal small subunit ribosomal RNA", at positions 94 to 288 of the family's 1478-position model. Lineage: Archaea; Methanobacteriati; Methanobacteriota. The record is from RNAcentral.